RNAcentral lists this transfer RNA (65 nucleotides) under Elysia ornata (ornate elysia). Its description in RNAcentral is "tRNA-Val". Lineage: Eukaryota; Metazoa; Mollusca; Gastropoda; Plakobranchidae. The record is from RNAcentral.
AGAGAUGAAGUAUAUAAUGUACGUUUUAUUUACACUAAAAAGGUUUUCAAUUAGAAACGUCUCUA